UCGUAGCGAUUGGUUUUGUCUUGAAAA
RNAcentral lists this small RNA (27 nucleotides) under Bombyx mori (domestic silkworm). RNAcentral's name for it is "ovarian small RNA-7638". Lineage: Eukaryota; Metazoa; Arthropoda; Insecta; Lepidoptera; Bombycidae. The record is from RNAcentral.